UACGGGGGGGGCAAGCGUUGUUCGGAAUUACUGGGCGUAAAGGGCUCGUAGGCGGCCAACUAAGUCAGACGUGAAAUCCCCAGGCUCAACCUGGGAACUGCGUCUGAUACUGGAUGGCUUGAAUCCGGGAGAGGGAUGCAGAAUUCCAGGUGUAGCGGUGAAAUGCGUAGAUAUCUGGAGGAAUACCGGUGGCGAAGGCGGCAUCCUGGACCGGCAUUGACGCUGAGGAGCGAAAGCCAGGGGAGCAAACAGG
This 253-nucleotide ribosomal RNA is filed under the name uncultured bacterium. RNAcentral's name for it is "partial 16S ribosomal RNA". It matches the Rfam family "Bacterial small subunit ribosomal RNA", at positions 524 to 776 of the family's 1533-position model. The record is from RNAcentral.